This 363-nucleotide long non-coding RNA is filed under the name Elaeis guineensis (African oil palm). RNAcentral's name for it is "long non-coding RNA (EGUI_LNC038551)". Lineage: Eukaryota; Viridiplantae; Streptophyta; Magnoliopsida; Arecales; Arecaceae. The record is from RNAcentral.
ACCCGUAUUUGACUCAGAUUGUCCAGGUUCAACAUAAAGCGAUAGUCACUAGGACCUAGCUCGCUCUAUUCGGGCAGUUCCAAACAAAAAGAUUGGAUGGAUGUUUAAAGAAAGAAUGGAAGAACAGGAAAGUAGAUAGGCGAGAAAGAAAAUCCACCUGGGAACAAAGAAAAGAGACAGAAAAGUGGAGCAAGCACCAGAACCUUCGAAAAUCCCUUUGAAGAAUAGCACCGCAGAAGAUGAAGAAAAACCUCUUGUCCCAAGAGCUACAGUAAUGGACAAAGGAAAGAAGGAAUCAGAGCACUUGCCAUUGAAAAAGAUAGGCACUUCUCCUAUUUAUAGCCAAGAAAAGGUAAUGCCCAG